This 453-nucleotide ribosomal RNA is filed under the name uncultured bacterium. RNAcentral's name for it is "bacterial SSU rRNA". It matches the Rfam family "Bacterial small subunit ribosomal RNA", at positions 28 to 524 of the family's 1533-position model. The record is from RNAcentral.
GACGAACGCUGGCGGUGUGCCUCACACAUGCAAGUCGAACGGGGUAGCAAUACCCAGUGGCGGACGGGUGAGUAACACGUAGGAAUCUGCCUUUAGAUGGGGGAUAACUGGCCGAAAGGUCAGCUAAUACCGCAUAUGCCGAAAGGUGAAAGGAGCAAUCCCGUCUGAAGAUGAGCCUGCGCCCGAUUAGCUAGUUGGUAAGGUAAAAGCUUACCAAGGCAACGAUCGGUAGCUGGUCUGAGAGGAUGAUCAGCCACAAUGGAACUGAGACACGGUCCAUACUCCUACGGGAGGCAGCAGUGGGGAAUUUUACACAAUGGGCGAAAGCCUGAUGUAGCGACACCGCGUGAGCGAAGAAGCCCUUGGGUGUAAAGCUCUGUCGGCAGGGACGAAAAAAAUGACGGUACCUGCAGAGGAAGCAUCGGCUAACUACGUGCCAGCAGCCGCGGUAAU